CGGAAUUACUGGGCGUAAAGCGAGCGUAGGUGGCUUGAUAAGUCAGAUGUGAAAUCCCCGGGCUUAACCUGGGAACUGCAUCUGAUACUGUCAGGCUAGAAUAGGUGAGAGGAAGGUAGAAUUCCAGGUGUAGCGGUGAAAUGCGUAGAGAUCUGGAGGAAUACCGAUGGCGAAGGCAGCCUUCUGGCAUCAUAUUGACACUGAGGUUCGAAAGCGUGGGUAGCAAACAGGAUUAGAUACCCUGGUAGUCCACGCCGUAAACGAUGUCUACUAGUCGUUGGGUCCCUUGAGGACUUAGUGACGCAGCUAACGCAAUAAGUAGACCGCCUGGGGAGUACGGCCGCAAGGUUAAAACUCAAAUGAAUUGACGGGGGCCCGCACAAGCGGUGGAGCAUGUGGUUUAAUUCGAUGCAACGCGAAGAACCUUACCAUCCCUUGACAUCCAGUGAAUUUUCCAGAGAUGGAUUAGUGCCUUCGGGAACACUGAGACAGGUGCUGCAUGGCUGUCGUCAGCUCGUGUUGUGAGAUGUUGGGUUAAGUCCCGCAACGAGCGCAACCCUUAUCCUUAGUUGCCAGCACGUAAUGGUGGGAACUCUGGGGAGACUGCCGGUGAUAAACCGGAGGAAGGUGGGGACGACGUCAAGUCAUCAUGGCCCUUACGGGAUGGGCUACACACGUGCUACAAUGGCGCGUACAAAGGGCAGCGAACCUGCGAAGGUAAGCGAAUCUCAUAAAGCGCGUCGUAGUCCGGAUUGGAGUCUGCAACUCGACUCCAUGAAGUCGGAAUCGCUAGUAAUCGUGGAUCAGAAUGCCACGGUGAAUACGUUCCCGGGCCUUGUACACACCGCCCGUCACACCAUGGGAGUGGGCUGCACCAGAAGUGGUUAGUUUAACCUUCGGGAGAACGAUCACCACGGUGUGGUUCAUGACUGGGGUGAAGUCGUAACAAGGUAGCCG
Molecule: ribosomal RNA, 957 nt
Filed under: uncultured bacterium
Lineage: Bacteria
Description: bacterial SSU rRNA
Rfam family: Bacterial small subunit ribosomal RNA
Source: RNAcentral